Molecule: ribosomal RNA, 516 nt
Filed under: uncultured bacterium
Lineage: Bacteria
Description: bacterial SSU rRNA
Rfam family: Bacterial small subunit ribosomal RNA
Source: RNAcentral
UGGGGAAUCUUGGACAAUGGGGGCAACCCUGAUCCAGCCAUGCCGCGUGAGUGAUGAAGGCCUUAGGGUCGUAAAGCUCUUUCGCCUGUGAAGAUAAUGACGGUAGCAGGUAAAGAAACCCCGGCUAACUCCGUGCCAGCAGCCGCGGUAAUACGGAGGGGGUUAGCGUUGUUCGGAAUUACUGGGCGUAAAGCGCACGUAGGCGGACCAGAAAGUUGGGGGUGAAAUCCCGGGGGCUCAACCCCGGAACUGCCUCCAAAACUAUUGGUCUAGAGUUCGAGAGAGGUGAGUGGAAUUCCAAGUGUAGAGGUGAAAUUCGUAGAUAUUUGGAGGAACACCAGUGGCGAAGGCGGCUCACUGGCUCGAUACUGACGCUGAGGUGCGAAAGUGUGGGGAGCAAACAGGAUUAGAUACCCUGGGUAGUCCACACCGUAAAACGAUGAAUGCCAGUCGUCGGGUAGCAUGCUAUUCGGUGACACACCUAACGGAUUAAGCAUUCCGGCCUGGGGAGUACGG